UACGUAGGGUGCGAGCGUUGUCCGGAAUCACUGGGCGUAAAGCGCACGUAGGCGGAUUUCUAAGUCAGGGGUGAAAUCCUGGAGCUCAACUCCAGAACUGCCUUUGAUACUGGGAGUCUCGAGUCCGGGAGAGGUGAGUGGAACUGCGAGUGUAGAGGUGAAAUUCGUAGAUAUUCGCAAGAACACCAGUGGCGAAGGCGGCUCACUGGCCCGGUACUGACGCUGAGGUGCGAAAGCGUGGGGAGCAAACAGG
Molecule: ribosomal RNA, 253 nt
Filed under: uncultured bacterium
Lineage: Bacteria
Description: partial 16S ribosomal RNA
Rfam family: Bacterial small subunit ribosomal RNA
Source: RNAcentral